Molecule: long non-coding RNA, 1313 nt
Filed under: Sus scrofa (pig)
Lineage: Eukaryota; Metazoa; Chordata; Mammalia; Artiodactyla; Suidae
Description: lncRNA (ENSSSCG00065031906.1)
Source: RNAcentral
GGCAUCGUUCUGCUGCUACACCUUGCCUCCCUGGAGCUGAAAAUUGAAUCUGUUUGUCAGCAUUGGAACCAACCUUCAGAUGGUGUAGAGAAAGUACCAGCAAACUGAAGUGCCAUUGUGAGGUUGACAUAUAUGGACCUGGGACCUGACAGUGGCUUUGCUGCAAGGUGUACAGUUUGCUCCUGUGACCUCUCUGGACUGCGGUGGUUGGUGAACACACAACCAAAGACAAAUCCUAGAGCUGCAACUAUAUUUUAUAAAUGGCCCUCGUUUGGUUCCUGCAUAACAAAUAGUGUCCUCUCAUUGAUGGGGACUGUUUCAUGCGCCUGCCUUUUUGGAGAAAGAAAACAACUUCUAGUCUCAGGCUUGUAUGAAUCCAGCACUGUCUUUCACAACUUGUUUUCGCCUCAGCGACUUGACAUGGCUCCCUAUCCAUCGCCGGUCCCCACGCUCCACGGUAACGAGAUUUUAAAAACUGUCCAUUUGGCUCCUUCCUGAGGUUUUACUCAUUUUGAAACUUUGCCACGCUGGCUGGCAUGUUUCACAUUUGCUUAUCUCUGAGCUUACUCCCAAGAGCUGCUGAACUUUCCCUUCCAUGUCACUAAGCUGGGACAGAGUGAAGACGGAGAGGAAAGAGUUACUGUCUCACAAGCUGUGACUUUGUCUGUCCAGAGUGGCCCUUGGAUGCAGCUCAUUAUUUGUGGAAAUAGUGUGUGCCACGGGCAAAAAUAACUUUUUAAAAAAAGCACAUCUCUGUACCCUCCUGAAGUCAUCUCAAAAUGAAGUCAAGAUUUCUCAUGAAACGGAGAGAGCUUUAUCAUGGCCCGAGUGGGUCCUUGAGUACUUGUCCCCGCCACAUUGUCUGCUCUGAGCAACCUGAGGGUCCAGACCAAGCUAAAAGAGGCUUCAUGAUGAGGUAAUGAGAAGGGUGGGAAGCAGGUUUUCUAUUUGGAGCCACAGGACCAUGGGAAAAAUCUCACUCGAGGACCAUAAACAACCAAAAAGAAACAAUGGAAAGAGAAAAAUAUGGGACCUUUCCCUUACCUGAUUUCAUUUUAUUUUAUUUUAUUUAUGGCCACACCCACGCAAGGAAGAUCCUGGGCCAGGGAUUGUGACUUAUGCCACGGCCGUGGCAAUGCCAGAUCCUUUAACUCAUAGCGCCAGGCCAGGGAUCGAACCCCGAACCUCCUCCACAGCAACCCGAGCCACUGCAGUCAAAUUCUUAAGAUUCCUAACACACUGCACCACAGCAGGAAAUCCUAGCCUGGUUUUAAAUUAAGCACAGGGAGUUCCCGUCAUGGCUUAGUGGUCAA